CCAAUAGCGUAUAUUAAAAUUGUUGCAGUUAAAAAGCUCGUAGUUGAAUUUCGGGGUUCUACCGUUGGUCGGGCAAUUGUCUGUACUGACGUGUGGAAUUUCUACCUUCUGGGGAACCAUCAUGUUAUUAAUUUAGCGUGGUGGGAAACCAGGACCUUUACCUUGAAAAUAUUAGAGUGUUCAAAGCAGGCUUACGUCUGAAUACAUUAGCAUGGAAUAAUAAAAUAGGACGGUGGUCCUGUUUUGUUGGUUUCUGAAUCACCGUAAUGAUUAAUAGGGAUAGUUGGGGGAAUUGGUAUUCAAUUGUCAGAGUUGAAAUUCUUGGAUUUAUUGAAGACUAACUUCUGCGAAAGCAUUUGCCAAGGAUGGUUUCAUUAAUCAAGAACGAAAGUUAGGGGAUCGAAGACGAUCAGAUACCGUCGUAGUCUUAACCAUAAACUAUGCCGACUAGGGAUCGGACGAUGUUAAUUUUUCUUGACUCGUUCGGCGCCUUACG
Molecule: ribosomal RNA, 496 nt
Filed under: uncultured Glomeromycotina
Lineage: Eukaryota; Fungi; Glomeromycota
Description: partial small subunit ribosomal RNA
Rfam family: Eukaryotic small subunit ribosomal RNA
Source: RNAcentral